This 450-nucleotide ribosomal RNA is filed under the name uncultured bacterium. RNAcentral's name for it is "partial 16S ribosomal RNA". It matches the Rfam family "Bacterial small subunit ribosomal RNA", at positions 354 to 796 of the family's 1533-position model. The record is from RNAcentral.
GUGGGGAAUAUUGGACAAUGGGCGCAAGCCUGAUCCAGCAAUGCCGCGUGCAGGAAGAAGGCCUUCGGGUUGUAAACUGCUUUUGUACGGAACGAAAAGGCUCUGGUUAAUACCUGGGGCUCAUGACGGUACCGUAAGAAUAAGCACCGGCUAACUACGUGCCAGCAGCCGCGGUAAUACGUAGGGUGCAAGCGUUAAUCGGAAUUACUGGGCGUAAAGCGUGCGCAGGCGGUUUUGUAAGACAGACGUGAAAUCCCCGGGCUCAACCUGGGAAUGGCGUUUGUGACUGCAAAGCUGGAGUGCGGCAGAGGGGGAUGGAAUUCCGCGUGUAGCAGUGAAAUGCGUAGAUAUGCGGAGGAACACCGAUGGCGAAGGCAAUCCCCUGGGCCUGCACUGACGCUCAUGCACGAAAGCGUGGGGAGCAAACAGGAUUAGAUACCCCAGUAGUCC